AAAGUUGAAGGAAAAGAGUGGGAGAGCUUUGCAUCAUGAAUUAUUUUAUACUUGUGUUGGCAUCAAUUUUUGCUUUGAUUUUUGUAUAUAGUCUAGCAAAAUUAUCCAGCAAAAAACUUCCACCAGGGCCAUCACCAUGGCCAAUUAUUGGAAAUAUUCACUUGUUAGGUGCAAAUCCCCAUACAUCACUAGCCAAUCUUGCAAAAAUUUAUGGUCCAAUUAUGAGUUUAAAAUUAGGACAAAUAACAACAGUGGUCAUUUCUUCAUCAUCCAUGGCAAAACAAGUCCUCAAAAAUCAUGACUUAGCCUUUUCCACUAGAUUUAUCCCUGAUGCCCUUCAAGCACACAAUUAUAGCAAAUUCUCUGCUGUAUGGCUUCCUGUUUGUCCUCAAUGGCGAACACUUAGGAAAAUCAUGAACACCAAACUCCUCUCUACUAAUAGGCUUGAUGCAAAUCAACAUCUAAGAUCUCAAAAGGAGAAAGAAUUGAUUGAUUAUUGUGAAAAAUGUAGCCAACAAGGUGAAGCUGUGGAUGUAGGUCAACUUGUUUUCAAGACUAAUCUCAAUUUAGUGUCAAAUACCCUUUUCUCCAAGGAUUUGGUUGAUCUUUAUUCGGAUGCAAAGGUUGAGUUGAAGGACGCGAUCUUGAGCAUCAUUGAUGUUGCUGGGAUGAUCAACCUAGUGGAUUUUUUCCCUAUACUUGAAAAUGUUGAUCCUCAAAGAAUAAGGUAUCGCACAAACAUUCAUUUUGGUAAGUUGUAUAAACUCUUUGGUGAUAUGAUCAAUGAGCGGUUGGAAGAAAAGAAAACGAACCAGAGUGAAAAGAGUGAUAUUUUACAAGUUCUUCUCAACCACAGUGCAGAAAAUCCCCAAGAGAUGGAUAGAAAUUUUAUGAAUUCGACGCUCCUGGACUUAUUUAUUGGUAGUAUUGAUACAAUUACAAACACGGUAGAAUGGGCAAUGGCAGAAAUACUUAGACAACCAGAGAUUAUGAAGAAAGUCCAAGCUGAGCUUGCACAAGUCGUUGGAAAAGGAAAACCAAUAGAAGAAGCUGAUGUAUCCAGACUCCCUUAUUUGCAAUUUAUCAUCAAAGAAACAUUAAGACUUCACCCACCAGCUCCAUUCUUAAUCCCCCGCAGGGUGGACCAAGAUGUUGAAUUGUGUGAUUAUAUCAUUCCAAAGGGUUCAAUAGUACUAGUCAAUGCGUGGGCUAUUGGCCGUGAUUCUUCUUUUUGGGAAGACACUUUAGUGUUUAAACCUGAGAGAUUCCAGAGUUUAGAAUUGAAUAUGCGUGGUAAAGAUUUUGAAUUGAUUCCAUUUGGUGCUGGCCGAAGAACAUGCCCUGGAUUUCCAUUGGCAUUGAGAUUGAUGCCAGUAAUAUUGGGCUCGAUGUUGAAUUCAUUCAAUUGGAAACUUGAGGCAUGCAUUGAGCCAAAAGACUUAGACAUGGAGGAGAAAUUUGGUGCCAUCAUAGCCAAAGCUCAUCCUUUGCGAGCUAUCCCAUCUCCUCUUUGAAAUUCCGCUCAGUUCAUAAUAAAUACUUAUCUAAUAUCGGUUUUCUUAUUAUGUCCACAAUCACCAACUACCACUCUAUUUAUCAUCAUUACUUUAUCCACAAUCACCACCCAUUACCAUCAGUGACGUAACCUUUUGCCAUAUAUUGAAAUCAUAACUCAAAGGUGUUUGCGACUUGUUCAUACCUUAUUUGAAAUAAAAUGGUUUCAUGUUCUUGAUUGAUUGA
Solanum tuberosum (potato) is the source of this 1740-nucleotide RNA transcript. It is a transcript of the gene named geraniol 8-hydroxylase-like, with no coding region annotated. Lineage: Eukaryota; Viridiplantae; Streptophyta; Magnoliopsida; Solanales; Solanaceae. The record is from RefSeq and is a predicted model, not a curated record. The transcript is spliced from 3 exons.